AUGGUAACAAAAUGUUGGGUCACCACUACCAUAUUAUUCCCAUGGAAUAAAGAGGGCACAUGGAAAUUUCUUUAUCCAGAAACGUGGAAAAGAAAAACCAAAAAAGUUUGACCAGUAAGAAAUGUAACGAAGAACCCGGAACCAUGGAAGCAGGUCCUUUCACUUCAACAUUUUUGCUAAAAUCUCGAAUACUUGAAAAAACCAAGUUGUACUCAAAGAAGAAAAUACAAAUUUAAAUGAAACCCUACAACUACAACAGUGUGAAAAAAAACUAUUGUUCCAAGAUAUUAGUGGGGCUCACUUUUUAGUGUAGCUGGGCUGUGGAAAUCAUACCACCAGAAUAUCUAUUAUGUACGUUGAUGAAGUUUCGAUUAAAUUUAAAAUAUUUUAAGUGUUUUAGAUUUACAGUGAGUAGGUAACAUGAAAAUGCAAAACAUUAUCGUCACAUUUAUAUGUGCUACUUGUAAUGUUGUACGCGGGCCUUAUGAGUAAUAUGAGUAAUAGAGAGAAAAAUUAUCUUUUUAUAUCGACAUGCUUCAAAGACAUCACAAAUGGCAGAAUUGUGUUGGAUUGCACGGAAAUUGAAGGUGCAAUUCCGCAUUCCUUUAAAAAAGCUUUAUCUUCU
Long non-coding RNA from Photinus pyralis (common eastern firefly), 625 nucleotides. RefSeq lists it as uncharacterized. Lineage: Eukaryota; Metazoa; Arthropoda; Insecta; Coleoptera; Lampyridae. The transcript is spliced from 2 exons. The record is from RefSeq and is a predicted model, not a curated record.